This 516-nucleotide long non-coding RNA is filed under the name Equus caballus (horse). RNAcentral describes it as "lncRNA (ENSECAG00000055894.1)". Lineage: Eukaryota; Metazoa; Chordata; Mammalia; Perissodactyla; Equidae. The record is from RNAcentral.
CAAAAGCUGAGACAGCAACCACCUGUUGGAUGAUUUACAGGCUCUAAGAAGGCCCCUCAGCCCUCAAAUAUUCCCACCCCAACCUGCCACUGGGCUGGGAUUUCCACCAAGAGAGAAAUAACCCUCAGCUUUCAAGCCUUGCCUCUCCACAAGACCUCUGUGAAAAUGUCAACAUGGCAGCACGUUCAAACAUUAUCCAUCAUUUUGGCUCCAGAUGGAAUUAAUUUAUCAGACUACUUUCUACUAUGACAGCCAGCCUCAGGAGCCAUGAAGAAGCUGUGUUUGGAAAAGGGGACUGCAAGAAGCAGAUUGGGGUUUUUCUGAGCCUGCUAUUGAACACGUGAGGAACCUGGGUCUCAAGCAUUUCAUCGUGGCUAACAGAAGAAUCUCUGAAGCCACAGUACCUGGACUCCAGCUCCAGGGCCACUUACCAGCCAUUUGACUUUGGCUUUGACAUCUGGGGCAUUGCUGACCCUGGAGGGACUGCCCCUCCCAAGGCUACCAACUCGUAGAGAU